RNAcentral lists this long non-coding RNA (347 nucleotides) under Zea mays. RNAcentral describes it as "drought responsive lncRNA". Lineage: Eukaryota; Viridiplantae; Streptophyta; Magnoliopsida; Poales; Poaceae. The record is from RNAcentral.
CAGGGCCCAUCGCCUUUCCUACACCAUUUAAAAAAAGUGUUGCUUUAGAUAUAUGAAAGCAACAAUAAUCUAGUAAUAGAACAAUUCAAUCUACAAAUAUAACAACAUAAUCAGCAUAGAUGUUAUAUUACAAUGACGCUGCUUGAAGAGAGCUGAGCAGAUAUAUAUACAUGUAUUGAAGCAACAAAAUGCUGGUCAACUACUACCUUGUUUUCUCAUUUGGGAACAUUUCUGUUUAUUUAUGUUUGGAGUUUCUAGGGACCUAUGGCAGAUGCAAAUUUUAUUCAAGAGAAGUUUAUUCGGAAGUAUGUAAACUUAGCAUAAAUAUACGACAAUUGUUGUCUUAA